Long non-coding RNA from Tetranychus urticae (two-spotted spider mite), 2287 nucleotides. RefSeq lists it as uncharacterized. Lineage: Eukaryota; Metazoa; Arthropoda; Arachnida; Trombidiformes; Tetranychidae. The record is from RefSeq and is a predicted model, not a curated record.
AAAAUGAGAAAUCAAUUUUUCUAGAAAAUCUUUUUCUAAUUGUUUUUCAAGCCAACUAUUGAUAUUUUUUUAUAAAUUAUGUACAACUUUGAUUGUUUAAUGCAAUUGUAGGUAUUUAAUUGCCGUUGCUUGCGUUAAUAUUUAUUUUAACUUAUGAAAUAGUUGUUUUUAUUAAUAUUUUGCGUUUUUGCUUUGCUGGUCCUUGUGUUGCUUUAUGAAUUGUUUAAUCAAAAUGAUGGCAAAACUACUAAAAUUGUGGAAAAUAAAAAGAUUGGAUUUCCGUCCGCUCAAAAGUUAAUCAAAAUCUCAAUCAACUAAGAAAAAUCGAGUUAAAUCCAGCUUGAAAGGAAAUCAAAGCUCAACUUUUCUUUUUUGUACUAAAAAUCUUUUCACUCGCUGUAACCUUAUUAAGUAAUCGUUCAAUUCAACAGCGCAUUCUUUUCAUCGUAACCAUCAUCAUCAUUGUCUUCAUCAUCACCUUAUUGUAAUUUAAUCUGUGUUCAUUGAAAGGUUCAAUUAUGAAGUCAACAUUUUUCUCCUCAUUGUUAAUAUAAACUCAUUUAAUGCUGCUUUAGCUGAUUAACUUUUACAAGAAAUUUAGUAUCAAUGCAAGGUACUCAUCAUCCAGUAAUCUUAUGGUUGGUUGUUGAUAACUAGCGAGGAAGCAAUAAAUGACCAUCUCAAACUGAGAGCCAAGCCAAAAGUUCACAGCCAAAAACGAUGACCCAAAGCGAGAGGAAAAACAAAAUCAUUAUGAAUUCAUGUUUUUAGAAAGAUAAAGAUAGUCACAGUACAAUGAUACUUCCGGCUGAUUUUGAUUAUUCACAUGAAAAAAAUUGAUCGUCAUAAAGAUUUUGAUCUCACAUUAUAACAAGCUGAUUAUUGUUUUAAGGAAAUCCAUAAAAAAAGCUGUGAAAAAAGCGGUGAUCUUAUUACCUUAUCAAUAGAUUUAAAGGCAAUUACUGUGACCGGAUUGGGAGAUUACUUAAUUUGGCCAAUUAACCCAAUGGUUUUUGAUUCUGGUUUCAUCAAUUCUAAUUAUUAGACAAAUUGGUCAAGCUUAAGCAAACUGCCAGCUCAAAUAGCUUACAAGCUCUUAACCUAAAUAAUGUAAAGUAUUUGAUUGCGGAUUAUUUCUUGGUGUUCCCUUCAAUUUAAUCAAUGAGUUUGACCAAGUACCAACAUAAACUUGAUUCAGAGUAAACAUUGAUUUUAAUCACUUUUACAACUUCGUAACUCAACUCAACAACAAGUCAAUCAAUUGGAAUGGCAAAGUUCCCUCGAAUCCAUCGACAAAUCAACCAAAAAACCAUCCUACAUCUAAAUAUUAUUUCAUUUCCAAGGUUUGAAUGAAACUCUAAGCUAACCUCACCAACGAGCCGAUGUUAAACAGAUGUUGGCUGCAAUCACAAUUGUGCUUUCUCAUCUCAAGGGUUAAAUAACGAUGAUUCAAGUCUCCAACAUUAGCGGAACCCAAAAUUAAAUCAAUACCAACCUCCACUCAUACAUAAACAAAGAGACGAGUUGGGUUUGGAAAUAAGUUGAAUUGAUUUAAAAUGAACCUCUUUAGUUGUCACCUUAAUUGUUGAUCACUUUAAAAGGUAACCACAAGGUUGAAUGAUUAGGCGAAAAAAGGUUGAAAAAAUUGUCAUCAUGAUCAACAAUUAUUGGAAAAGUUAUUUAAGAAAUGCUCAAUGAAAAACAAAUCUCAUUGUAAAUUGUAAAUCUUUAUUUAUUUGGCAGCAAUUUAACUUUUAGUCUAACAAAUUCAAUCAAGUCAGAAGUUUAUCAAUUCAAUCUUAAUUGAUCUAAGGCAUUAAAUUGUCAGAUUAAGUUGUAAAAGUUCAGUGAAUCGAGACAAUUUGAAUCGCCAUUUUUACCUUGCAUUUCUCAAGACUCUUUGUGCAUUUGGUGAUUAACCAGUCUGGUUAUAAAACAUUUCAAAACAAACCCAAUUCAACCGGAUUAACGUUGAAAAUGUUAAUUUACUUGACAACAAUUUAAAUUGAAUUCAAUUUGCAAGUGCAAAUCAUUUGCUUCUAUUAAUAGUAAAUUGUUGUUAUUGGACAGUAAAAAGACAUUUAUUUAAUUUGAUUAAUCUCAAUUAAUUGAAACUUUAUUACCUUUAAGAGUAAAAGUGUUUCCUUAAUAUAUUUUUUUUGCUCCUUUGAAGCAUCAAGAGUCAACCAUAUUGGUUAACAUUUGAAAAUACCUAAUGGAAGCUUUAAAAGGUAAUAUUACACCUUUUUUAUUAGCCAUUAAAUCUGAUCUUCGUUUAAUAUUUUUA